CCUACGGGUGGCAGCAGUAGGGAAUUUUCGGCAAUGGGGGGAACCCUGACCGAGCAACGCCGCGUGAACGAAGAAGUUAUUCGUAAUGUAAAGUUCUUUUAACAGGGAAGAAAGAGAAAUUUGACGGUACCUGAAGAAUAAGCUCCGGCUAACUACGUGCCAGCAGCCGCGGUAAUACGUGGGGAGCGAGGGUUAUCCGGAAUGAUGGGGCGAAAAGGGAGUGUAGAUGGUAUAGUAGGACUUUUGGAAAAAUGCUGGGCUCAAGCCAGUAGGGCAAAAGAGACUGGAAAGCUAGAGUAUGACAGAGGCAAGUGGAACUACAGGUGUAGCGGUAAAAUGCGUAAAUAUAUGUAAGAACACCAGUGGCGAAGGCGGCUUGCUGGGUCGAUACUGACAUUGAGGCACGAAAGCGUGGGGAGCAAACAGGAUUAGAUACCCCGGUAGUC
This 446-nucleotide ribosomal RNA is filed under the name uncultured bacterium. RNAcentral describes it as "partial 16S ribosomal RNA". It matches the Rfam family "Bacterial small subunit ribosomal RNA", at positions 338 to 795 of the family's 1533-position model. The record is from RNAcentral.